GAAGAAUAAGAUCAUCUUGAGGAAGGAUUGCCAUGCCUAUUGCCAGGUGUCCUCUGCCAUCUGCCAUUUAACAAGCUGACUUUAGAUAUGACCUAAAAUUGAGGAUAUCCAGCUCAUUUCCUUUUGCCAUCCUCCACUUCUGUUUUGGGAACAGCUAUCUAAGGAAAUGGUGUAGGUGGUCACAGAACCAUGAUGUACUGGAGGAGAGUCUGUUCAUCCUGUAAUCUGUGUUAAACAUUGCACUUGAAAUGGCUGAUUAGUGAAUGUUCAUUAAUGAUACAGAUGAAUUUUCAUCUUGUGACUGGAAUGAUAUUAAAAUUAU
RNAcentral lists this long non-coding RNA (322 nucleotides) under Parus major (Great Tit). RNAcentral's name for it is "lncRNA (ENSPMJG00000016814.1)". The record is from RNAcentral. Lineage: Eukaryota; Metazoa; Chordata; Aves; Passeriformes; Paridae.